CCUACGGGAGGCAGCAGUAGGGAAUAUUGCUCAAUGGGGGAAACCCUGAAGCAGCAACGCCGCGUGGAGGAUGAAGGUUUUCGGAUUGUAAACUUCUUUUGUUAGAGAAGAUAAUGGCGUUAUCUAACGAACAAGCACCGGCUAAUUCCGUGCCAGCAGCCCCCGUAAUACGGAGGGCGCAAGCGUUACUCGGAAUGACUGGGCGUAAAGCGCGCGUAGGCGGGAUAGCAAGUCAGAUGUGAAAGCCUAGGGCUUAACCAUAGAACUGCAUUAGAAACUGGUAUUCUAGAGUAUGGGAGAGGUAGGUGGAAUUCUUGGUGUAGGGGUGAAAUGCGUAGAGAUCAAGAGGAAUACUGAUUGCGAAGGCGACGUGCUGGAGCGUAACUGACGCUGAUGCGCGAAAGCGUGGGGAGCAAACAGGAUUAGAUACCCUGGUAGUC
Molecule: ribosomal RNA, 440 nt
Filed under: uncultured bacterium
Lineage: Bacteria
Description: partial 16S ribosomal RNA
Rfam family: Bacterial small subunit ribosomal RNA
Source: RNAcentral